CCGAGUUAUUACUCCAAACCCUUUGUGAACCUUACCUCUUUGUUGCUCGGCGCGCCGCGGGCCGCGGCUUCGGCCCGUCCCGCAGCGCGCCAGAGGACCCAACUCUUCAUUUAUAGCGUACCUUCUGAUUUACAAAACAAACAAGUUA
RNAcentral lists this unclassified non-coding RNA (148 nucleotides) under soil metagenome. RNAcentral describes it as "partial internal transcribed spacer 1". The record is from RNAcentral.